UCAUAAAACAAUUUUGAAAAUAUUUCAACUAAAUAUUUUAACAAUUUCUUAACAGGGGAUACAAAUUACAUUGUCAAACCCUAAAUCUCCAGUCAUUUAAUUUCUUCAUAUGCCUCAUUCGUGAGAAAGAGCUAGACUGAAUACUUGAGCUCCGCUUAGGAAGAUACAGAAAAGCGCGUGUAAUGGGAUGGAGAACGGAGAUACAGUUCAUUCGCGCCAAAUUUGGUUACAAAUCACAUUGUCAAACCCUAAAUCUCCUUCAUUCAAUUUCUUCAUAUGCCUGAUUCGUGAGAAAGAGCCAGACUGAAUACUUGUUUCGCUUAAUCAGACUCCAUUUUCGAAACCCACCUUGUGAAGAUGGAAUAAUGUGAACGCCACUGUUUGUUUACACGGUGAAAGAUAAUAUACGAUAAUUUUUUUUUUUUUUAAAUUUUUCUGUUCAUAAGAAUAUGAAAAAUAGAACACGCAACAAUUGGGGAUAGAAACAUCAAAUAAAACUUAUAUAUACAUACAACAAUUACUAACGGACAGAGUUUGAGUUGGCUGCUAAAUUAAUAUAUUAAUUUAUUAUUUCUAUUUCAUAUUCUGGUUGGGUUGGCGUAUUCAUAACUGUCAAUCAAGGAGAAGUCAAUUGGAAAUAAAGUAUUAAUUUUAAUUUAAUCCGUUCUUAUUGUGAUGUUUUGAUUGAGUUUUUAAAUUGAUACUAGUCAAAUUAAUGUUUCCCUUUUUUUUGUUUUGCGACAUCAUGUCAUAUGACUAAUUAACAUGAAUGAAGAAGGUCAAGUGGCCAGAAAUCAGUAAUUAAAGACUAUAAACUAAAUCUAUAUUUAAGAACAUGAAUAAGAAUUCAGAACCUAAUCCUUCUAAAAUAUUAGUU
Molecule: long non-coding RNA, 877 nt
Organism: Pistacia vera
Lineage: Eukaryota; Viridiplantae; Streptophyta; Magnoliopsida; Sapindales; Anacardiaceae
Exons: 3
Source: RefSeq, a predicted model, not a curated record